GGAGCGGCGCAGCGACGGCGGCGGCAGUGGUGGCGGCGGUUGCGAUUCUUAGCCGUUGAGACGCCUCUGCGGCAGCUGGUGGCGCAGGUGGCUUGCGUGGACGCGGGCGGAGGCGGCCGGCCCGCCACCGCAGCCUCAGCGCCCACGGACCCGGCAGGCCCGUCGGGACACCCCGAGGCAUCCUCCCCCGCCCGCCGGCGAGGGAGCCUGGGCUCAUCCGCGCUCCCGCAUCUCUCUGCCGCGCGCACCGCCGCAUCUCCUCUUGGUUUUGGGACCCCCGGCCUCGCCCCCGAGACAUGACUCGCGAUUUCAAACCUGGAGACCUCAUCUUCGCCAAGAUGAAAGGUUAUCCUCAUUGGCCAGCUCGAGUAGAUGAAGUUCCUGAUGGAGCUGUAAAGCCACCUACAAAUAAGCUACCCAUUUUCUUUUUUGGAACUCAUGAGACUGCUUUUUUAGGACCAAAGGAUAUAUUUCCCUACUCAGAAAAUAAGGAGAAAUAUGGCAAACCAAAUAAACGAAAAGGUUUUAAUGAAGGUUUAUGGGAAAUAGAUAACAAUCCAAAAGUGAAAUUUUCAAGUCAACAGGCAUCAACUAAACAAUCAAAUACAUCAUCUGAUGUUGAAAUUGAAGAAAAAGAAACUAGUGUUUCAAAGGAAGAUACUGAUCAUGAAGAAAAAGCCAGCAAUGAGGAUGUGACUAAAGCAAUUGAUAUAACCACUCCAAAAGCUGCCAGAAGGGGGAGAAAGAGAAAGGCAGAAAAACAAGUAGAAACGGAGGAGGCAGGAGUAGUGACAACAGCAUCAGCAUCUGUUAAUCUAAAAGUGAGUCCUAAAAGAGGACGACCUGCAGCUACAGAAGUCAAGAUUCCAAAACCAAGAGGCAGACCCAAAAUGGUAAAACAGCCCUGUCCUUCAGAGAGUGACAUGAUUACUGAAGAAGACAAAAGUAAGAAAAAGGGGCAAGAGGAAAAACAACCCAAAAAGCAGCUUAAAAAGGAUGAAGAGGGCCAGAAGGAAGAAGAUAAACCAAGAAAAGAGCCUGACAAAAAAGAGGGGAAAAAAGAAGUUGAAUCAAAAAGGAAAAAUUUAGCUAAAACGGGGGUUACAUCAACCUCUGAUUCUGAAGAAGAAGGAGAUGAUCAAGAAGGUGAAAAGAAGAGAAAGGGUGGACGAAACUUUCAGACUGCUCACAGGAGGAAUAUGCUGAAAGGCCAGCAUGAGAAAGAAGCAGCAGAUCGAAAACGCAAGCAAGAGGAACAAAUGGAAACUGAGCAGCAGAAUAAAGAUGAAGGAAAGAAGCCAGAAGUUAAGAAAGUGGAGAAGAAGCGAGAAACAUCAAUGGAUUCUCGACUUCAAAGGAUACAUGCUGAAAUAAAAAAUUCACUCAAAAUUGAUAAUCUUGAUGUGAACAGAUGCAUUGAGGCCUUGGAUGAACUUGCUUCACUUCAGGUCACAAUGCAACAAGCUCAGAAACACACAGAGAUGAUUACAACCCUGAAAAAAAUACGGCGAUUCAAAGUUAGUCAAGUUAUCAUGGAAAAGUCUACCAUGUUGUAUAACAAGUUUAAGAACAUGUUUUUGGUUGGUGAAGGAGAUUCUGUCAUCACACAAGUGUUGAAUAAAUCUCUUGCUGAACAAAGACAACAUGAGGAAGCGAAUAAAACCAAAGAUCAAGGGAAGAAAGGCCCAAACAAAAAGCAAGAAAAAGAACAAAUGGGUUCAAAGACUCUGAAUGGAGGAUCUGAUGCUCAAGACAGUAAUCAGCCACAGCAUAAUGGAGAUAGCAAUGAAGAAAGUAAAGACAACCAUGAGGCCAGCAGUAAGAAAAAGCCAUCCGGUGAAGAGAGAGAGACUGAGAUAUCUCUGAAGGAUUCUACACUAGAUAACUAGGUUGACAUACCUGGAAUAUAAAGAACAUUUGACAACAGAAUUUUCUAUCUGUUCAAUGUUACUGGCACCACUGGAUACAGGAAAGUAAAAAUUUAGGCACAAUGUAAGGCAGCCAUGGAGGGGCCUCUUUAGUUCUCUAUGCCUAUGCUGAUCCUCUACUGAUUGAAUGAGUGAAUGAAAACACCUCUAGACAUACCAGAAACAGAUAUUUAAAGGAUCUUUACCUUGGAAGCCUCAUGGUAGAAGGUGUAGCAAUCACAUUCUUCAAAGAAUUUUCAAAACAUUUCCACCGCUUGAUGUAUCAUUGAUUCUAUCAUUAGCAAAAAAUACUCAGGAUACAGAAUGAAUAGGCAAGCAUGGAUUGGGAGAAAAGAAUCAGAAUUUGUGUAUGUGACAAAAGAUUAAUAUAUUCAGAAUAUAUGAAGUACUUCUUCAAGAUAAAAUGAGUAAAAAGCAAUAAAUAAAUAUACUCUGGAAUAAAUACUAAGUGAAAUAAUUUAGCAUUUUCUAAAUAUUUGGACCUGUUUUUAAUUAAAGGUUCCAGGAUCAACAUAAGGAUAAGCAAGGAAUUCCCCCAGUUUGUUGCCUUCUGAAUCGUAGUGGAGCAUUCGGAAGCAAACAUCACAAAAGAAACAUGGGUCCUCUGGUGCAAAACUGUCACUGUUCGUCACCCAUCUGUAGUUUUUAGAAAAAGAUGUAUGUCAUUAUAAAUCAAGUUUUUCAUGCCUCAACAUGCUAUAACCUGUAAACAGAACAUUCCCACUAUUAUCAGUCCAUGCCCCUAACACUAAUGCUGCUGCUUUGUAAAACUUCCUUUUAAAGGUAAGUAGAAAACUAUAAUAAUCUCAAAAUGUAUACUCAAAAGUAUACAUUUGCCAUGAUACAACCUGUCCUCCAGACAUGUUCUAUUUCUUCUAAAAGGCAAUCUUAAACACACAGACUCAAUAUAAUUCUACAUGCUGGCAAACCUCAAACUCUUUCCAGUUAUAUAUCAAAUUGUUUAGAUUACAGUUAUGUUAUUGUGUCCCACCUGUGCUGUUCUAAUUUUAAUAUGUGUGCUUCUGAAAACAAUUCCUUUUUUAAACUGGUAUAUUAGUACUGCUGUUCUGAAAACACGAAUGUUUUAAAUUCUAAAUUAGACACAAGGGAAUGUGUGCAUAGUGAUAUUCAAGUGAGAUUGUUUUUGGGAUUGAGAAUGUUAACUGUUCACAGGAUGAAAAUACUACUUUCCAGUCUAAUUGAAGUCUCCAUUUCAUGGAAUGUUUGCUUUUAAUAUCUUGAUCUGGUAAACUGAUUUGUUUUUCUAUUGAUCCUUUAAAUGUGUAUUAUUGGGGCUGGAGUUGUGGCUCAGUGGUAGAGCACUCGCCUAGUAUGUGUGAGGCACUGGGUCAAUCCUCAGCAUCACAUUAUUUAAUAAAAAGUUUUGUUAAGUAUAUUGUGGUUGGGAAUCCAAAAUAAACUUUUAAGGUACUAAA
Marmota monax (woodchuck) is the source of this 3364-nucleotide RNA transcript. It is a transcript of the gene named PC4 and SRSF1 interacting protein 1, with no coding region annotated. The transcript has 18 exons. The record is from RefSeq and is a predicted model, not a curated record. Lineage: Eukaryota; Metazoa; Chordata; Mammalia; Rodentia; Sciuridae.